CGAUAUUAGUCUCACUAGUAAGUGGCGACAAAAAUUUCAUACCAAUAAAAUGGUAAUAAAAAAAAUGUUUUUCUUUUUACAUAAAAAAAAGAGUGGUUUUAAUUGUUUACACUCAUUUGAGGUUAAUAAAAUGUAUUACAUUUUGAAGAAUGAACAGUCUUACAUAUUAUAAACUAUUUUUAUGCUUAUGUUAAAAGAAUUGUAUAUUUUGUACAAGUUAAAAAAAA
This 227-nucleotide long non-coding RNA is filed under the name Medicago truncatula (barrel medic). RNAcentral describes it as "lncRNA gene2260". Lineage: Eukaryota; Viridiplantae; Streptophyta; Magnoliopsida; Fabales; Fabaceae. The record is from RNAcentral.